UUAUUGGAUGCCUCUAGUUUUCAGGAAAAAGCUAAACACAACGCAGAAGCACCGCACCGUACUAUAAACCGACACAGGUAGAAUCGUGUAUUUCACGUAGGCAAUGAGGAAACCAUGUUGAAGGAACUCGGCAAAUUAGCCUCGUAACUUCGGGAUAAGAGGAGACGUAUUGUAUUAUA
RNAcentral lists this ribosomal RNA (179 nucleotides) under Vaucheria litorea. RNAcentral's name for it is "partial Bacterial large subunit ribosomal RNA". It matches the Rfam family "Bacterial large subunit ribosomal RNA", at positions 1588 to 1765 of the family's 2925-position model. Lineage: Eukaryota; Xanthophyceae; Vaucheriales; Vaucheriaceae. The record is from RNAcentral.